GACGAACGCUGGCGGCGUGCUUAACACAUGCAAGUCGAGCGGUAAGGCCCUUUCGGGGGUACACGAGCGGCGAACGGGUGAGUAACACGUGGGUGACCUGCCCUCAGCUCUGGGAUAAGCCUGGGAAACCGGGUCUAAUACCGGAUAUGACUCCAUGACGCAUGUUGUGGGGUGGAAAGCCUUGUGCGGCUGAGGAUGGGCCCGCGGCCUAUCAGCUUGUUGGUGGGGUGANGGCCUACCAAGGCGACGACGGGUAGCCGGCCUGAGAGGGCGACCGGCCACACUGGGACUGAGACACGGCCCAGACUCCUACGGGGGCAGCAGUGGGGAAUCUUGCGCAAUGGGCGAAAGCCUGACGCAGCGACGCCGCGUGAGGGAUGACGGCCUGG
RNAcentral lists this ribosomal RNA (389 nucleotides) under uncultured bacterium. RNAcentral's name for it is "bacterial SSU rRNA". It matches the Rfam family "Bacterial small subunit ribosomal RNA", at positions 28 to 419 of the family's 1533-position model. The record is from RNAcentral.